UACGUAGGGCGCAAGCGUUGUCCGGAAUUAUUGGGCGUAAAGAGCUCGUAGGCGGCCUGUUGCGUCCGCUGUGAAAUCCCGGGGCUCAACCCCGGGCCUGCAGUGGAUACGGGCUGGCUAGAGGCAGGCAGGGGAGAACGGAAUUCCUGGUGUAGCGGUGGAAUGCGCAGAUAUCAGGAGGAACACCGAUGGCGAAGGCAGAUCUCUGGGCCGUAACUGACGCUGAGGAGCGAAAGCAUGGGGAGCGAACAGG
This 253-nucleotide ribosomal RNA is filed under the name uncultured bacterium. Its description in RNAcentral is "partial 16S ribosomal RNA". It matches the Rfam family "Bacterial small subunit ribosomal RNA", at positions 524 to 776 of the family's 1533-position model. The record is from RNAcentral.